GACGAACGCUGGCGGCGUGCUUAACACAUGCAAGUCGAACGGAGCGAAUGAAAGCUUGCUUUUAUAAGCUUAGUGGCAAACGGGUGAGUAACACGUAGAUAACCUGCCGACAGGAUGGGGACAACAUUCCGAAAGGAAUGCUAAUACCGAAUGAAGCGCAGGAGAGGCAUCUCUCCUGCGUGAAAGAUGGCCUCUAUAUAUAAGCUAUCACCUGUUGAUGGGUCUGCGUCUGAUUAGCUGGUAGGUGAGGUAACGGCUCACCUAGGCGACGAUCAGUAGCCGGUCUGAGAGGAUGAACGGCCACAUUGGGACUGAGACACGGCCCAGACUCCUACGGGAGGCAGCAGUGGGGAAUCUUCCGCAAUGGGCGCAAGCCUGACGGAGCAACGCCGCGUGAGUGAAGAAGGUCUUCGGAUCGUAAAGCUCUGUUGAUGGGGACGAACGUGCCUAAUGCGAAUAGUAUUAGGUAAUGACGGACCCAUCGAGGAGCCACGCA
This 496-nucleotide ribosomal RNA is filed under the name Centipeda noxia. Its description in RNAcentral is "bacterial SSU rRNA". It matches the Rfam family "Bacterial small subunit ribosomal RNA", at positions 28 to 497 of the family's 1533-position model. The record is from RNAcentral. Lineage: Bacteria; Bacillati; Bacillota; Negativicutes; Selenomonadales; Selenomonadaceae.